Molecule: ribosomal RNA, 486 nt
Filed under: uncultured bacterium
Lineage: Bacteria
Description: partial 16S ribosomal RNA
Rfam family: Bacterial small subunit ribosomal RNA
Source: RNAcentral
AUUGAACGCUGGCGGCAUGCCUUACACAUGCAAGUCGAACGGCAGCACGGGUGCUUGCACCUGGUGGCGAGUGGCGAACGGGUGAGUAAUACAUCGGAACAUGUCCUGUAGUGGGGGUUAGCCCGGCGAAAUCCGGAUUAAUACCGCAUACGAUCUACGGAUGAAAGCGGGUGACCUUCGUUUCUCGCGCUAUAGGGUUGGCCGAUGGCUGAUUCGCUAGUUGGUGGGGUAAAGGCCUACCAAGGCGGCGAUCAGUAGCUGAUCUGAGGGGACGACCAGCCACACUGGGAGUGAGACACGGCCCAGACACCUACGGGAGGCAGCAGUGGGGAAGUUUGGAAGAAGGGCGAAAGACUGAUCAAGCAAUGCCGCGUGUGUGAAGAAGGCCUGCGGGGUGUAAAGCAGUUUUGUGCGGAAAGAAAUCCUUGGCCCGAAUACGGGCUGGGGAUGACGGUACCGGAAGAAGAAGCACCGGCUAACUACGUG